Venturia canescens is the source of this 791-nucleotide long non-coding RNA. RefSeq lists it as uncharacterized. Lineage: Eukaryota; Metazoa; Arthropoda; Insecta; Hymenoptera; Ichneumonidae. The record is from RefSeq and is a predicted model, not a curated record. The transcript is spliced from 2 exons.
UGUGACAGUUCGUCGCUACGUACUCGUUUCAAAUUAUCUCUCGAUGCUGGAUGGAAGAAUUUUUUGCACAUAUAAUUAUUGAAACCCUUGCCCAUCUUGGUAUCGUUCAACAAAACUUUUCAGGACGCCGAAAAACUACAAAAAAUGUCUGAAACGAAAGGCAAAGGGGAAUUUGAGUCGGAGGUCAGUGUCGUCGAGAGCGAAUCGGAAUUUAGUGACGUCAGGAACAAAGCAGAAGUUGGUGACGUCACAAAUAAAGCGGAAGCUGAUGACGUCAAAAGCGAAUCGACAAUAAAAAACUUGAAAAAUGACGCAGAAGGCACUGACGAUAUUGGCCGUAUAGUGACAGACUCUGUGCACGAAAGGUUCCGGCAACCUUAUGUGUAUUGUCCGCAGUGCAAAAUCAACAUUCCCGCGUCCAAAAGUGAUAUCGAGAACCACUUUAAUCAGUCUCAUUAUUCCGAUAAUUGUUGCCUAUACUGUAAUGCUAAGGUUUUCCAAUAUUUAUCAUUUGGAGUUGACAUUGACGGUAAUGAGUACACGAAACACGUGACUCAUCAUCGUUGUAACGCACGCCAAUAAUUACAUAUUUAUGUAUGUUCGUCACGAGCACGAUGAGAACAAACCCAGAUGCAAAGUAUUUUUUGUACUUAGAAUUUAAGAAUAUUUGAAAAAAAUCAUUCAAUGGGAAAAUGCAUGUACAAAGAAAUCGUUUGAAACAUUCCUUCAUUGUCGGAAAGUAUAAUGAUUGCUCACACAAUCUUUCUAUCGAAUAAAAAAUGUUCACUUUA